Molecule: long non-coding RNA, 453 nt
Organism: Saccostrea cuccullata (small rock oyster)
Lineage: Eukaryota; Metazoa; Mollusca; Bivalvia; Ostreida; Ostreidae
Exons: 3
Source: RefSeq, a predicted model, not a curated record
UGAUUAUAGAGGAGGAGUUUUGUCAUUGAUGGGAACGAACGUCAUAUUUAUGAUAUUGUGGCUGCAUCACUUCUGUUUGGCAGAGGUACAAGAGAACCAGUAACACAGAUAAAAGAUGCAGUUCCUAAGAGAUCCAAAGUCAGCAGCACCUAAGACUAUACUGAUCAUGACUUUGAAUUAUCAGCAUCCAAAACAAUGCAAAUCAAAUACAGGUUUUGUCUGUACAUCUGGCAAUCUUGGGGCAAUACUGGAUGGUUUUAACUAAGAACUGAUCCAGCAUGAAGACCAGCCAUGUGCCUCACCUGUCAUGACAUUAUUAAAGGUAAGUGUCCCUAUAAGCAAAGAAUCUGACAAAGCAAAACCUUCAUCUUAAAAGAUUUACAUUUAAUACUUAUUUGAUUGGUAGUUUUAAUUAUUUUUUUUCUUCUACGCAGCCUUUUAUUUAGCAUUUCU